Molecule: ribosomal RNA, 350 nt
Filed under: Hyperoscelis veternosa
Lineage: Eukaryota; Metazoa; Arthropoda; Insecta; Diptera; Canthyloscelidae
Description: 12S ribosomal RNA
Source: RNAcentral
UAGAGUUUAAAUAAAUAUAUUAAAGUAGUAAAAUAUCUAUUUUUGAAAUUUAAAAAAUUUGGCGGUAUUUUUAUUUUACAGAGGAAUUUGUUUUUUAAUUGAUAGUUCACAAAAUACCUUACUUAAAUUUUUAUUUUGUAUAUUUCCGUCAUAAAAAUAUUUUGUAAAAAAUAUAAUUUUUAAAAUUUUAUAAUAUUAAAAAUGUCAGGUCAAAGUGCAGGUUAUAUUUAAGAAAAAAUGAAUUACAAUAAAGUUAUUUAUAUGGUUAUUUAAUUGAAAUAUUAAAUUUAAAGUGGAUUUGUUUGUAAAUUUAUUGAUUUAAAUAAAUUAAAUAAAGAUUUAAAAUAUGU